ACUUCAAACCUAGUUCUUCAUUAAAUAAUACCGCCUUCUACACAAUCAGCACAAAAUAAAACAUUUUUUUAGUCUAGUAAAAGUGAUUGAAAACCUAAAAAGAAACUACAAAUAUAGUACCGCAAGGGAAAGGUGAAAUAACAUUAAAUAUACUAAAGUAAUAAAAAGCAGAGAUUAACUCUCGUACCUUUUGCAUCAUGAUUUAGCUAGUCAAAACAAGCAAAGUGUAACUUAAGUUUGCACCCCCGAAACUAAGUGAGCUACUUUAAAACAGCCAUAAGGGCCAACUCGUCUCUGUCGCAAAAGAGUGAGAAGAUUUUUAAGUAGAAGUGACAAGCCUACCGAACUUAGAGAUAGCUGGUUAUUUGGGAAAAGAAUAUAAGUUCUGCCUUAAGUUUUUAAUAACACCCAAUCUCCAAGUAGCUUAAGAGUUAUUCAAAUAAGGUACAGCCUAUUUGAAACAGGAUACAACCUAAAACAUAGGGUAAUAUAAAUUCACCAUAUAAUUAAGUUGGCCUAAAAGCAGCCACCUUUUAAAAAGCGUCAAAGCUUAAUUUUAUAAUUAUAAUAAUAACAAUAAAAACACUAAACCCAUCUCCAAUACCAAAUUACUUUAUAAUACUAUAAAAAAUAUAAUGCUAAAACUAGUAAUAAGAAAAUGAUUUUCUCCUAAAUACAAGUGUAACGCAGAAUAAACUAACCACUGCUAAUUACUGUCCUUAGUUUAAUAGUAGUAACAGCACUAGAAAACUCUACUACACUUAACAUUAAUCUAACACAAGAGUAUUACAGGAAAGAUUAAAAGAAAAGGAAGGAACUCGGCAAACUAAAGCCUCGCCUGUUUACCAAAAACACCGCCUCUUGCUUUACAUAAGAGGUCCCGCCUGCCCUGUGACUUAGUUUAACGGCCGCGGUAUUAUAACCGUGCGAAGGUAGCAUAAUAAAUUGUUCUCUAAAUAAGGACUAGUAUGAAAGGCAUCACGAGGGCUUAACUGUCUCCCUUUUCCAAUCAAUGAAACUGAUCUUCUCGUGAAGAAGCGAGAAUAAAUUUAUAAGACGAGAAGACCCCAUGGAGCUUUAAACUUCUCACCACUUAUUUAUCAUUACACCACUAUAUAUAAUAAAAAUGUUAAUUGAAAGUUUUCGGCUGGGGUGACCCUGGAGAAAAAUAAAUCCUCCAGGAUGAACGGAAUAAAAUCCUAAUCAAAGAGCUACAGCUCUAAGAAUCAAAACACUGACAUCAUUGACCCAACCAUUUGAUCAACGAACCAAGUUACCCUGGGGAUAACAGCGCAAUCCAUUUCAAGAGCCCCUAUCGACAAAUGGGUUUACGACCUCGAUGUUGGAUCGGGGUAUCCCAGUGGCGCAGCCGCUACUAAAGGUUCGUUUGUUCAAC
Molecule: ribosomal RNA, 1396 nt
Filed under: Tachycnemis seychellensis
Lineage: Eukaryota; Metazoa; Chordata; Amphibia; Anura; Hyperoliidae
Description: partial 16S ribosomal RNA
Rfam family: Bacterial large subunit ribosomal RNA
Source: RNAcentral